AUAGUGAGUUGGUUGGGACUUUUGGCUACUGGUUACUGUUUAUAGAUUGUUAAUGCAGGGAUGAAAUGCUGUAGUUGUAGAAUACAAAGAGCCAAAAGUUUUCGGUCACCUUCAGAAAGACUUGAUUGAUUGCAUGACCAAAGCUUGAGUCCAGAUUGCCCAAUGAUUUAACUAAAUAGGAAAUGCCUUGCCAGCUGAGGUGGGAUUGGGGGAAACUCCUUCAGUUGACAUUUUUAAAGACUCAUCAAUGAGAUUUUCUUUAGACUCCCACUAACCUAUGAUGCCUGAAAUUCCCAAAAUCAAAAUUCCUUCGGAAGUACAGGUUUAAUUCUGGUUUCACCAGUACCCUAGAAAAAUUCAAUUGGGCAUAAUUAUGAAAUAUUCCAACAUAUUUAAUAUUUCAAGCCAUCUCUAAGCCUCUGAGUGCCAUUUUCUUUAUUACGUUUUAAUUUGAGAGGUAAAUUUUUAAAUGAAUUCUAUGCACUGGUCAUCAGUGCCUCAUCCCUGGCAGGUGUAGCUCUUCCCUUAGAUAUGAUCCUACUCCUGAUUAUUGUAACUUUUACAUCUUGAAGUUGCCACUAAAGUCAGGACUAAGAAUUUAAAAAGGUUUCUGUUUAUUUUUAUUUUUAUUUUUCAAAGAAAAACAGUCCAUGGAGUUUGCAUUUUAUCCACGAAUGGGAGAGGGAGGUCAUAUGGUUUGGGGGAUUGUUUCAUGAACCCCACUUUUUCAUGGUGAAAAGUUAGCCUUGUGAGCAAUUUUUUGUUUCAUAGUAACUUUUGGAUUGUCAGCAGUGCCAACUUUUGCCCCUUAGAGGAUCCAGUGUUCCUGUAAUUCUGCUUGACAAUUGAUGAAAAUUAUGUUGAAUAUGUGGUUUCAUAAUUACAUAUAAUUUUGGGGGGGGGUAUAUCCAUCUUUCCCAUAUAUUCAGAGGAAUUUUUUUUCUCUACACUGAAGGAUUUUUCUUUCCCUCUUAGUGAUUUGGAAUUAGGUUCAUAGGAAUUAUGUUGGAUCUUAGCUAUGGUUUCUUGAAUUAGUCUUGAAACCUUAUAUAGUAAGGUCACAUUGUCCACUGGUUGUGAGAAUGAACAAAGACUGUAACAGAAAGUAUUAAAAUUUGUGUACCUUGCUGGACACACCAAAGAUGUUUGGUUCCACCUGAAUCCCCCACUUGGAUAUCUAUGAUCAUAUUCUAAUUUCUACAGCUGGAGCACUUUACUUCUGUUUCUUUUAAGUAUCCAUCUCCCCCGGGAGCUGGAAGCAAUGCAACUGAUAAAAAGGACAUUUUUGUAAGGCUCUGCUGGCCCAGUGCCACAGUGGGGAUUAUUGUCCUUUUUUGUAUAUUUACCUCAAGCAUGGUAGAGCAACAGGUUUGCCACCAUUGCUUCAGGCUGAUGAUAUAUAGAUAAGCCUAGUAGAAAUUCUAUGAAUUAUGGAAGCAGUAGAGAAUAGGAUGUUGGCACCAUGAGUUUGAGAGAGAAAUACAUUUCUCUGUACUGUAUCUCUUAGAGAUCACGAUGCCUGCAGCAGGAGUAUACUUUGGUAUACUUUUUUUUUUUUUUUUUUUAAAGACAGCUAGUUCCACUUUUUGAAAACUUAAUGCGGGUUUUGUGCCUUGACAACCUCUACCCACGUUGGGUUUGUAGUAAGUCUCCCAUGGCAUAACACUGAAAUGCAAUAAGCAAAUACAAAAUAGUUAAUUCCAUGAGUAACUCUUCAGAUGACAUAUCCUUUCUAUCCUGCCAAAACUUUAUGAAGAAUUUUCUUUGGUUGUGGAGAAACCAGUUUAAAUUUCUUCUGAUAUAAAAAUUUGUAUAAAAAUUUUCCCUCAUUCCCUCCCUUAAAUCUCUCUUCUAUUUUACUGUAAAUAUUUGGAUAUUUAUUAGAGUAGAACAUCUUUACUUAACUCUUAUCAACUGAGCCAAAUGUCUGUGUGCAAUUGUGUGUGGUUCUUUUGUCUUUUCUGUAAGAUUUUGUAAAUAAGUAAAAAUCACUGUUUUCUAAACUUUUUUUAGAUUUUGACAUUUGUAAAUAUGUAGAUUCUUUUCUGUGUAAUGUGUUCUACUGUUUCAUAAUGCUGUAACUUGUAGAAAUAUUGUAUAUUUAUUUUCUGCUUAUUUAAUUUCUUAUGUUCUGUAAAGUUAUGCAUUCCCUUUCCCUUCCCCAGAUUAUCUGCUUUAACACAGAAGGAGUGAUUGAUCAGUUUAACGCACUGUCUCUUUCAGUGCUGUCUGUAUGGUUUUUCUACUGUGGUCCUUUAGAUUUCAUUCUUAUUCAUUUUACUUUUUUAAAACUUUUAUACUUUGCCAUUGUGGUUUUUAAAAGCGAAGGGAGCUGAUAAUAGCCAAAUGCUGGAAAUGACUCAAAGCAUUAACCAAGUUGAGUUGUUCCAGUUGUAAACCAUAGCAGAUUGUUUGCCCUAAGCCCCAUCUUUAGGUAGAAAAUAACAUUUAGCUUGGGAAAAGUUUACUGCCAUUGACUAAUCAAAGUUGAGAAAACAAAAAGGUGAUCAGAUUGUAAAGGUUGCCAAAGUCUGGGAUUCGAGGGAUAAGUGAACAGGAGAUCACUUACGUUGUUUGAUUCCCCUGGUUUUUUCUCCUUUAUUUGUUAGGAAGGAAAUAAGAUGAGGACCCUAUGUUUUUGUUUUUGUUUUUGCCUUGUUCCCCCAGCCAUUUACUUGGGAGCAAGCUGAUGGGGGUAUAAGUUUACUUAUUUUAAUAUCAGUGUGUUAUUUACUUUGCAAUUGAAAUAUGGUUUAUCCUUCCUACUCUUCUUCCCUCAAUGGAAUAGUAAUCCAUAACAUUCUGAUAGUCCUAUUAAUUUGACCUCAGUUUAGUUUGUAUUUCAUUCGAGAUUAUUUUGAGUCCAGAUGAGAGAAAUCUUUAAUUGGCUAUUAGGAUGUGCUAAGUUGUGAAUGUUUUUAAGAAAAUUUAUUUGCUGAUAGGCUCCAUAUAUAACAAGUGAAAAGCCCUGUCAUUGCAGUUUAGUCUGGUGCCUACAUGUGUAUCUAUUACUCUGCACUCAUACAUACAGUAGAUGUAUGGGAGCUUUGGUGCAUGCACACAGGUAAAUCAACUGUGUAAUUUGACAUUUACACAUACAUUUCCUUAUACAACAAGAAGCACCCUCAAGUUCUCAUGUAAAUAACUUGACUACUUAUUUUUUGGGGCUUUCAGAGAAUCUAAAUAUUUUGUACCCUGGUUUAAAGACCACUAAUACUGUAUAAAAACUCAUCAGGUACCAAUAUGUACAUAGCACUGAUCUGUAACUUAGACUGAUUAAUCACUUACUUUGUUUCAUAGGACCCAGCAUAUGUAGCAUUUUUAUUGCAAUUUCCC
This is a long non-coding RNA of Sarcophilus harrisii (Tasmanian devil), 3336 nucleotides long. The record is from Ensembl. NCBI's taxonomy places the organism in Eukaryota, Metazoa, Chordata, Mammalia, Dasyuromorphia, Dasyuridae.